GGUGCUGGAACUUCGUCUCUGCAAGGCUUUGAUUGAGAACCGAACCUACUUCUUAGAGGACUGUCCUCUCAAACUGUAUAAGAUGAGAGGCCCUGGCCAAGCUGAACUUAAGCCUCAACCAUAAACCGUCCAAUUCUGACUUCAUCUUAGGAGCUUCAAAAGUUUCUCUACAAAUACCACUCCCCAUAAGCAGGGAAGGAACUAACCAAAAAGCACUCAACAUCAAAGAGGAUUAGCUUAAGUAAUGGCAAAGUUUUCAUGUACCUCCUCCUUCAUUCUUGCCAUCAUCCUUGUCUUGUUAGUUUCAUUGUUAAUGAUGAUGAAAGUAUACACACAGCUGAAUUGCGUAUCUUUAUUCGAUCCAAAUGGCUGCAAUCUCUCGAUUUGUGUGCGACAAGAAAUUUGGUGGGGUGGGGUUUUGUUGUUCACUAGCUUGUACUUAAUGUGGUUGACUACAUGGAGAUUCCAAGCAAGCAUGAACCUGAGGAUCCAUGCAAAAAUAUUGACGGGGUAUGACUAAUUAUAAUAAGUGCCAGCUGUCAACCUGACACACCACUACAAAUAAGCCACAUGGUUAUAACGACAGACUAUAAUUGAUGUUGUAGUCUCUCUCUACAUGUAUAUUUGAUGUUGUCAAUAAAUAAAGUAUUAUUGGGUUUUUUA
Molecule: long non-coding RNA, 663 nt
Organism: Macadamia integrifolia
Lineage: Eukaryota; Viridiplantae; Streptophyta; Magnoliopsida; Proteales; Proteaceae
Exons: 2
Source: RefSeq, a predicted model, not a curated record